GCCUGCCCAGUGACCUUGUUUAACGGCCGCGGUAUCCUAACCGUGCGAAGGUAGCGUAAUCACUUGUUCUCUAAAUGCGGACUAGUAUGAACGGCAUCACGAGGGUUAUACUGUCUCCUUUUUCUAAUCAGUGAAACUAAUCUCCCCGUGAAGAGGCGGGGAUAAAACUAUAAGACGAGAAGACCCUAUGGAGCUUAAAACAAUAUAGCACUUGCCUUACAACAUAAAAUUUCCGAAUCUGUUUCCAAAGCAAUAUGACUGUAAGUUUUUGGUUGGGGUGACCGCGGAGCAAAAUUUAACCUCCAUGUUGAAAGAAUCUAAGCUAAGGAGCACCCUUCUAAGCAUCAAUAUAUUGACAUCAAUUGACCCAAUACAUUUGAACAACGAACCAAGUUACCCUAGGGAUAACAGCGCA
RNAcentral lists this ribosomal RNA (415 nucleotides) under Nectophrynoides paulae. Its description in RNAcentral is "partial 16S ribosomal RNA". It matches the Rfam family "Bacterial large subunit ribosomal RNA", at positions 1857 to 2484 of the family's 2925-position model. The record is from RNAcentral. Lineage: Eukaryota; Metazoa; Chordata; Amphibia; Anura; Bufonidae.